This 258-nucleotide unclassified non-coding RNA is filed under the name plant metagenome. RNAcentral's name for it is "partial contains small subunit ribosomal RNA and internal transcribed spacer 1". The stretch from base 1 to 54 matches the Rfam family "Eukaryotic small subunit ribosomal RNA", at positions 1778 to 1831 of the family's 1831-position model. The record is from RNAcentral.
GGAAGUAAAAGUCGCAACAAGGUAACCGUAGGUGAACCUGCGGUUGGAUCAAUUCUGAGAGAGUAAGGUUAACACCGCUCUAUCUUGUGUGAACUGUCUACUGUACUCGGUGGGUGCUCCGGCCCCAUCGAACCGGCGGCGGGUCCUUUUGGAGCCGUCGUUGACGAACCAACCUUUUAUUUUACCAAUGACUGAAACCCUUUCACUGUGUGAAAAUACAAUGAAAAACAACUUUUGACAACGGAUCUCUUGGCUCUC